GCUGGAUGCAGUGGUGUAUGGCUAUAGUCCCAGCUAUGUGGGAGGCUGGGGAAGGAUUGCUUGAGCGCAGGAGUUCUGGGCUAUAGUGCGCUAAGUCAAUCGGGUGUAAGUUUGGCAUCAAUAUGGUAACCUCCUGGGAGCAGGGAGGACCACUCAGUUGUCUAAGGAGGGGAAAACCUGCAGGCCAGGUUGGAAACAGAGUGGGUCAAAACUCUCAUGCUGAUCAAUAAUGGGAUCACGCUUGUGAAUAGCCACUGCACUCCAGCCUGGGCAACAUAAUGAGACCUU
This 288-nucleotide signal recognition particle RNA is filed under the name Prolemur simus (greater bamboo lemur). RNAcentral's name for it is "Metazoan signal recognition particle RNA (ENSPSMG00000012381.1)". It matches the Rfam family "Metazoan signal recognition particle RNA". From Rfam's summary of the family: The signal recognition particle (SRP) is a universally conserved ribonucleoprotein. Lineage: Eukaryota; Metazoa; Chordata; Mammalia; Primates; Lemuridae. The record is from Rfam by way of RNAcentral.